This 497-nucleotide ribosomal RNA is filed under the name uncultured bacterium. RNAcentral describes it as "partial 16S ribosomal RNA". It matches the Rfam family "Bacterial small subunit ribosomal RNA", at positions 28 to 507 of the family's 1533-position model. The record is from RNAcentral.
GACGAACGCUGGCGGCGUGCCUAAUACAUGCAAGUUGAGCGCAAAAGGCCGGUACUUGUGCCAACUGGGUGAGCAGAACACGGGUGAGUAACGCGAGGGGAAUCUGCCUUUGAGCGGGGGACAACAAUUGGAAACGAAUGAUAAUACCGCAUAAAAACUUUAAACACAAGGGGUAAGGGUGAAAGAUGCAAGUGCAUGACUCAAAGGUGAUCCAGCGGCUUUUUAGCUUGUUGGUGAGGUAAAGGCGCACCGAGGCGUUGACACGUAGCCGACCUGAGAGGGUGAGCGGCCACAUUGGGACUGUGACACGCCCCAUUCGCCUACGGGAACGAGCAGUAGUGAAUCUGCGGCCAGGAGCGGAAGUCUGACCGAGCAAGGCCGAAGGCGUGAACAGGGUUGUCGGGUCGUAAAACUCGGUUGGUGGAGAAGAACGUUGGUGAGCGUGGAAAGCUGAUCAAGUGACGGUAACGACCCAGAAAGGAACGGCUAACUACGUG